This is a long non-coding RNA of Oreochromis niloticus (Nile tilapia), 493 nucleotides long. RefSeq lists it as uncharacterized. The transcript has 3 exons. NCBI's taxonomy places the organism in Eukaryota, Metazoa, Chordata, Actinopteri, Cichliformes, Cichlidae. The record is from RefSeq and is a predicted model, not a curated record.
GAACCCCUGAGAUCUGCAGAUCUAACUGAAGAACUGACGAUACCUGCUGUGGUGACUCUAAAGGAAACAGCUGAAAGAAGAAGAAAAAGAGUAGAUAUGUACAGGUUCAAUAACAACCAAAGAAGUAAUCUUUAAAGACCUGCUUUUUUUCCACUUCUUGCUCAAAACCUUUUGUCCAAACCACUUAUCGUCGCUGUCAUAAUGAAAGACUUCUUCACACCUUAAUACACAAGAUUUCUAAAGCUAAUAAUCUUGCUUCCUUUUUCCAUCAUGUGCUCUUGAAACUACGUGUUAGAAAAGGAAGCCCAACCUUAAAUUGAUGCCUAGCAGUGACUUCCACUCCCUCAUUCAUGAAACGUUUACUGGACAUGGGGCUGCCUGAGGGCAAUUCUGUGCAAUAAAAGGUCUGAAAACCAACCACUACUGUAGGCCCAUGAUGCCACCAGGGGCCACAACCAGCCUGCCAAAGCAUUCAGUUCAGCUCACUGGAUGG